This 866-nucleotide long non-coding RNA is filed under the name Equus caballus (horse). RNAcentral's name for it is "lncRNA (ENSECAG00000052621.1)". The record is from RNAcentral. Lineage: Eukaryota; Metazoa; Chordata; Mammalia; Perissodactyla; Equidae.
CAGUUGCUGAAGCAGGUGCUGGGAUGAACUCCCCGUUAAUGAAGGAGGCUUGGGGAGGCUUAGAGAGGUCCAGACAACGCAGAGAAGGAUUAGGGCAAAAAAGAAGAAAGAACAAGGAUGACAAACAGGGACAUUAUAAGCCCAUGCCCAUCAGGGAGUCACAGAACAGGAACGCUUUGUUAGGUCAGAAAGGGAGGAGGAAGCCAUUGAGGCAAGACGCCCUCGUGCCUUCCUUUCUACGAGCCUAUGGUCAUGAACGGGCACAUUUGGCAGGAGGUCAAAUGUACAGUCUGUUGUUCUUGUUGAAAUGAGACAUGGAGUUGAAGCUAUGGAGGAACUGGGUUGAGGAAGCAGAAAUAUUGAGAGCUUAAGGAACUGGUCCAAGGUCACAUUACAGCUAGGGAUGGUCAUGUGACACAAUCUGGCCAAUCAGGCCUACGUCUGUCAUGGAGUUCUUGGGAAAGCGCUCGUUUUUCGUGAGACAGGAUAAAUUCCUAUAAUUGAUGUGAAUUCCUGGAUCAAAGAGGAUGCACAUUUUUUAGGUUUUAUAUGCUGUGGAUAAUAUGCCCUUGAGAAAGACUUGAUACCCAAGGUGACAAGGCUUAAAUGCCAUCCUCUGUGAAAAAUACCAGCCAUUUAAAAAAAGAAGAGGAAAGAAACACGGAGUGCUAUCUCAGUCCUGAAGCCAAGAAGGAAAAGUGCACUGUGUGAAAAACAUAAAACAGAGCUGUUCGUGACACCUAAAGGCCAGACAAGGCUGAAAGACCACCCAGUGUCAGCCCAGGAAGAAAGAACUGAGGAAGCUAAAAGCCCAAACCCCGGGGAGUAUCAACAUGCCAAACACAAUUUGGGGAAGACAAUUAAAA